GUGAUUGACCCGAACCAAUGACAGUUGCACAAUGAAUCAACUGAAUAAUUGACUGGGAGUGGUCAACUUUCUCACUGUGCACGCUUCAGAGACUCUCUUUAACGGUGCAAUAACGGCGCCGGCCACGUCCUUGCAGUCAGGUUGGAAGAGGGAAGGAAUAUUAGUAACAACCUUUGUUAAGUGAAGGACCGCGUUUACCGCUGUGACUCCACCAAAGGUUGCAGGAAGGAGUGUUUGUUAGUAGGUAAGGUAUCGUUGGGUCUGGAUUCACUUUGAUAAGUAAUAUGACCUUCGUGUUAUGCUGGUUGCCGCGCUAUUGUUUGCUUCACGCGGAAAGCAAACAAUCGAUCACCCACAUCGGGUGGUCACUUAAUAUUUCAAAUCGAACUGCGGAAGCUACUCGCCAAAUAUUUAACUGCAAAUUACCCGACCGAACAUGCAAGCUGACGCACUAUUGUUCACUUCAUAUGAGAAGCAAACAACUGAUCACCCACGGCAGGUGAUCGUUCAGUGUUGCUACAAAAGACGCAACACAACAUAAAAAACUGACUAACUCUUGAUCAAUUCACACGGGAAGAAAACCAUCGAUCACCCACGUCGGAUGAAUGCUAUAUGUUUACUUAUCAAAAACAACAAAAAACCUACGAGUGACGAACUAUACAAAUUCUAUGAAAACUGUUUCAAAAGUAAACAUGCACUAAUUAAAUAACUAGAUGCAAGUU
This is a long non-coding RNA of Aedes albopictus (Asian tiger mosquito), 722 nucleotides long. RefSeq lists it as uncharacterized. NCBI's taxonomy places the organism in Eukaryota, Metazoa, Arthropoda, Insecta, Diptera, Culicidae. The transcript has 2 exons. The record is from RefSeq and is a predicted model, not a curated record.